UCUUAUUUGCAUCAAAUUUUGGCGCUACAUAAAUUUUUCCCACCUACUUUUAUUUCUUAACCUAAUUGGCAACAUUUUAUCCUUUCCUGUAUCCUUAUUAUCCCAAUUCAUCUCCUUCGCCGUCUUCGCCAUCGUCUUCCACAUCAAAUUCAACUCCAACGCGUUGCCAUCGAGAGCACAUUCAACUCCGACGCCUUAUUUCUCCCUUCAAUUGUUCAACUUCAAUUGUUCAACUGCAACGCGUUGCCAUCGUCCUAAAAUUGACGCCCUUUGGAAAUCUCCAGUCUUCUUCUACGUCGCCAUUCUGUGCUAACUGCUGGUCCUAAAAUUGACGCGUUGGCUGUCGAAUGUGUUUACUUCAAUCAAUAAUAAACGGAAACUUGUGAUCUUCAUAUCUUGUUGAAAUUCAGUAGAUGCUGACCCUGCAAUUGCGUAGAGAUUUAAAACCUUAAUUUGUAUUGUUGAAAGUGCAAUUUGCUCUUAACUGUAGUGGUGUGGUUCUUGGAUCAUUGCUGAUAAGAUUGGAUCAAUAUGCCAUAGCUAAAUUUGAGUGUACACCUACCAAUAAAGUACUCCACCUGCUUCCCUUAAUUGUUGCUAUCCCUAUUGCACUUACGACCACUGCUGCUGUUUGCCUUGUUUUUUUCCUCCACCGCUAGUUGUUGGUGGUUUCUUAACUUUGACUUGUAUAACAGUUAUGGGGACAAAUGUAUAUUCGGUUUUAAUUCUGUGUAGUUAUGUAAUUAGUAUAGAAUUUAGGCCAAAUGUCGUAAAAAGGACAAACCUUUCACAAAAGUUUCACAAAAGUCCUCACCUUUCAGUUUUGUCGAUUUUGGCCAAAAACUGAUUAUUUGGUUUCACAAAAGUCAUGAUCUUUCAAUUUUGUCGAUUUUGGCCAAAAAUGGAUUAUUUGGUUUCACAAAAGUCCUGACCUUUCAAUAUAUGUGCAUGCCACGUAGGCGCCACAUAGGCAAAAUUUAAAUCAAAUUGAGAGUUGAGCACAAUUGAAACCAAAUAAUCUGUUUUUGGCCAAAAUCGACAAAAUUGAAAGGUCAUGACUUUUGUGAAAUUUUUAUGAAAGGUUUGACCUUUUUACGAGAUUUGGCCUAGAAUUUAUAGUUGAAAAUUAUUCUACUUGCUUUCUUGAGUUAUACAAAGUUAAAUACAAUAUAUUUUUUAAA
Molecule: long non-coding RNA, 1181 nt
Organism: Mercurialis annua (annual mercury)
Lineage: Eukaryota; Viridiplantae; Streptophyta; Magnoliopsida; Malpighiales; Euphorbiaceae
Exons: 5
Source: RefSeq, a predicted model, not a curated record